CAUCAUCCACGGAUAGACCUUGAACAAAUUGCUAUUGUUCGUUUGGAUUGUAUUAGAAUGAGAAAGGAAAAAAAAUCCCUGUGCUUUCUGUCUUUGUGGCGGCCCAGAUUGAAUACUGAAAUACAUCU
Molecule: small nucleolar RNA, 128 nt
Filed under: Pteropus vampyrus (large flying fox)
Lineage: Eukaryota; Metazoa; Chordata; Mammalia; Chiroptera; Pteropodidae
Description: Small nucleolar RNA SNORA31 (ENSPVAG00000029003.1)
Rfam family: Small nucleolar RNA SNORA31
About the family: ACA31 (SNORA31) belongs to the H/ACA class of snoRNAs which are thought to guide the sites of modification of uridines to pseudouridines. ACA31 is predicted to guide the pseudouridylation of U3713 in 28S rRNA and U218 in 18S rRNA.
Source: RNAcentral